AUACUCUGGUUUCUCUUUAAAAGGAAUACAUCUUUUGCCUUGUGUUAAAGAUUUUUGUGGAGUGGAACAACCAUACGUUUUGGAGAAUUUUUUUUAUUCCUGGCUAAUGCCGGGCU
Molecule: small nuclear RNA, 116 nt
Organism: Rana temporaria (common frog)
Lineage: Eukaryota; Metazoa; Chordata; Amphibia; Anura; Ranidae
Product: U5 spliceosomal RNA
Exons: 1
Source: RefSeq, a predicted model, not a curated record